AAUCCUGUCACACCUGGGAUUUAGGUGCUUGUAACCUGAAAAAGAUGCGUAUCCAUUCAGCACUGCAGAAGAACUUGAGGAUAUCUUUCUUGAGCUCAGAACUACUUGGGAAUUUGGAGAAUUGAG
Molecule: long non-coding RNA, 126 nt
Filed under: Chinchilla lanigera (long-tailed chinchilla)
Lineage: Eukaryota; Metazoa; Chordata; Mammalia; Rodentia; Chinchillidae
Description: Pvt1 onco conserved region 5 (ENSCLAG00000018884.1)
Rfam family: Pvt1 oncogene conserved region 5
Source: RNAcentral